This is a non-coding RNA of Coturnix japonica (Japanese quail), 1005 nucleotides long. Lineage: Eukaryota; Metazoa; Chordata; Aves; Galliformes; Phasianidae. The record is from RefSeq and is a predicted model, not a curated record.
UCUGGUUGGAGAUCCCUCCUUUGUGGAGUUCCUAUUGUAAGCCUAGAUCUUCAGAGAUGAUGGGUUGAAUGGAUCUCCAGUUGUCUCAAGGCAUUAUGGAUAUUCUCUACCCAAGCUCUUUGCUGAUCUGUUUGAUGUGUUUUGGAGUCUCCAGAAGUGAUGUUUCCCUGACUGGGCGGGAGGUUCAUAUGAUGCCCAAUGAGGAUGCUUGUGGUAUGGCUGAGGACUACAGCCCUGCUGAUCCUAACGAGGAACAACUUCUGUAGCUCAGGAGUGAAUGCUGGAGAGCUCCAUUGUUACUCAUGGGGACCCAUCAUCAGUGUCCCCACCAAAACAUGGCACCUGAGACACUGUGUUGUGUGGGAUCUGAGCAUCAUUCUGACUGUUUAGAUUUUGAUUCACCACUUCAGUCCAAACCUGUGUUUGUCACGUGGUGUCUUCAGCCAAAGCUCUACUGAGGGUCUUGGGUUUGAGGUGGGUGAACAUCUACUGAUCAGCUCUUACUGCCAUGGAGCAACUCUGACUGCUGUGGUCAUCUUCAGCAAUCUGGGAUCUAAACAACACAUAAAACCUCCCUGCCUGUUCUGGAGGUUAUUUUGGACCACACAAUUGAUUCUUCAGGGCUUUAUCAGACAGUGCUUGGCUACCAGUGUUCUUAGAGCUCUAUCUUUAUACUGGGAGUGUGUCACUGGCAAAAAAUGGCCUUUGGUGCUUACAGCGUCUCAACCCACAUCUGUAGCUUCAGCUGGAGAUGCUGAGAAUGGUUGUGUGAAUAGGGAAGAGAGGUAUGGAGUCUUUGUAGCAAGAGAAAUUGUCUGAUGUUUGGAUCUUUGAUGGGUCUUAAGUGCUAUGUGCUCACAGCUUUGUAUUUGGGUGAAUAUGUUCAACUGAAGUGCCCAGUGGGUGCAUGUGGGAACAGCAAGGGGGGAAUUACCUGGUUCUUGUUUGAUGCCUUGAAAAGGGCAGAUGUUCCACUUGGUAAUGUGGUUAAGUGGGAAUGAUGGU